RNAcentral lists this ribosomal RNA (1469 nucleotides) under uncultured prokaryote. Its description in RNAcentral is "partial 16S ribosomal RNA". It matches the Rfam family "Bacterial small subunit ribosomal RNA". The record is from RNAcentral.
AUUGAACGCUGGCGGCAGGCCUAACACAUGCAAGUCGAACGGUAACGGGAAGAAGCUUGCUUCUUUGCCGACGAGUGGCGGACGGGGGAGCAACGCGUAGGAAUUUGCCUAGUAGUGGGGGAUAGCCCAGAGAAAUUUGGAUUAAUACCGCAUACACUCUACGGAGAAAAGCAGGGGACCUUUCGGGGCCUUGCGCUAUUAGAUAAGCCUGCGUGGGAUUAGCUAGUUGGUGAGGUAAGAGCUCACCAAGGCGACGAUCUCUAGCUGGUCUGAGAGGAUGAUCAGCCACACUGGAACUGAGACACGGUCCAGACUCCUACGGGAGGCAGCAGUGGGGAAUAUUGCACAAUGGGCGCAAGCCUGAUGCAGCCAUGCCGCGUGUGUGAAGAAGGCUUUCGGGUUGUAAAGCACUUUCAGUAGGGAGGAAAGGUUGUUGAUUAAUACUCAACAUCUGUGACGUUACCUACAGAAGAAGCACCGGCUAACUCCGUGCCAGCAGCCGCGGUAAUACGGAGGGUGCGAGCGUUAAUCGGAAUUACUGGGCGUAAAGCGCGCGUAGGCGGUUUGCUAAGCCAGAUGUGAAAGCCCCGGGCUCAACCUGGGAACUGCAUUUGGAACUGGCAGGCUAGAGUACGGUAGAGGGUGGUAGAAUUUCCUGUGUAGCGGUGAAAUGCGUAGAUAUAGGAAGGAAUACCAGUGGCGAAGGCGGCCACCUGGACUGAUACUGACGCUGAGGUGCGAAAGCGUGGGGAGCGAACAGGAUUAGAUACCCUGGUAGUCCACGCCGUAAACGAUGUCAACUAGCCGUAGGGAUCCUUGAGGUCUUUGUGGCGCAGCUAACGCAAUAAGUUGACCGCCUGGGGAGUACGGUCGCAAGAUUAAAACUCAAAUGAAUUGACGGGGGCCCGCACAAGCGGUGGAGCAUGUGGUUUAAUUCGAAGCAACGCGAAGAACCUUACCCGCUCUUGACAUCCAGUGAACUUUCCAGAGAUGGAUUGGUGCCUUCGGGAACACUGAGACAGGUGCUGCAUGGCUGUCGUCAGCUCGUGUUGUGAAAUGUUGGGUUAAGUCCCGUAACGAGCGCAACCCUUGUCCUUAUUUGCCAGCACGUAUGGUGGGAACUCUAAGGAGACUGCCGGUGACAAACCGGAGGAAGGUGGGGACGACGUCAAGUCAUCAUGGCCCUUACGAGUAGGGCUACACACGUGCUACAAUGGCCGGUACAGAGGGCUGCAAUGUCGCGAGGCGGAGCAAAUCUCAAAAAACCGGUCGUAGUCCGGAUUGGAGUCUGCAACUCGACUCCAUGAAGUCGGAAUCGCUAGUAAUCGCGAAUCAGAAUGUCGCGGUGAAUACGUUCCCGUGCCUUGUACACACCGCCCUUCACACCAUGGGAGUGGAUUGCACCAGAAGUAGGUAGCUUAACCUUAGGGGGGGCGCUUACCACGGUGUGCUUCAUGACUGGGGUGAAG